ACUCCUACGGGAGGCAGCAGUAGGGAAUCUUCCACAAUGGGCGCAAGCCUGAUGGAGCAACACCGCGUGAGUGAAGAAGGGUUUCGGCUCGUAAAGCUCUGUUGUUAAAGAAGAACACGUAUGAGAGUAACCGUUCAUACGUUGACGGUAUUUAACCAGAAAGUCACGGCUAACUACGUGCCAGCAGCCGCGGUAAUACGUAGGUGGCAAGCGUUAUCCGGAUUUAUUGGGCGUAAAGAGAGUGCAGGCGGUUUUCUAAGUCUGAUGUGAAAGCCUUCGGCUUAACCGGAGAAGUGCAUCGGAAACUGGAUAACUUGAGUGCAGAAGAGGGUAGUGGAACUCCAUGUGUAGCGGUGGAAUGCGUAGAUAUAUGGAAGAACACCAGUGGCGAAGGCGGCUACCUGGUCUGCAACUGACGCUGAGACUCGAAAGCAUGGGUAGCGAACAGGAUUAGAUACCCUGGUAGCUCGAUG
Molecule: ribosomal RNA, 473 nt
Filed under: uncultured bacterium
Lineage: Bacteria
Description: bacterial SSU rRNA
Rfam family: Bacterial small subunit ribosomal RNA
Source: RNAcentral